CACAUAGGGUGCGAGCGUUGUCCGGAAUUAUUGGGCGUAAAGAGCUCGUAGGCGGUGUGUCGCGUCGGCCGUGAAAACCUGCAGCUUAACUGUGGGCUUGCGGUCGAUACGGGCAUCACUGGAGUUCGGCAGGGGAGACUGGAAUUCCUGGUGUAGCGGUGAAAUGCGCAGAUAUCAGGAGGAACACCGGUGGCGAAGGCGGGUCUCUGGGCCGAUACUGACGCUGAGGAGCGAAAGCGUGGGGAGCGAACAGG
Molecule: ribosomal RNA, 254 nt
Filed under: uncultured bacterium
Lineage: Bacteria
Description: partial 16S ribosomal RNA
Rfam family: Bacterial small subunit ribosomal RNA
Source: RNAcentral